UACGGAGGGUGCAAGCGUUAUCCGGAUUUACUGGGCUUAAAGGGUGCGCAGGCGGAUAUGUAAGUCAGUGGUGAAAUCUCCGGGCUUAACCCGGAAACUGCCGUUGAUACUAUAUAUCUUGAAUGCUGUGGAGGUAAGCAGAAUAUGUCAUGUAGCGGUGAAAUGCUUAGAUAUGACAUAGAAUACCUAUUGCGAAGGCAGCUUACUACGCAGAUAUUGACGCUCAUGCACGAAAGCGUGGGGAUCAAACAGG
This 253-nucleotide ribosomal RNA is filed under the name uncultured bacterium. RNAcentral's name for it is "partial 16S ribosomal RNA". It matches the Rfam family "Bacterial small subunit ribosomal RNA", at positions 524 to 776 of the family's 1533-position model. The record is from RNAcentral.